UUAUAUUUUAUUUAUUAAUUAAUUUUUUUUUUAUUAUAAAUUAUUAAAAAUAAUUAUUAUAAGUUUUGUUUAAGUAUUUUAUAAAGAAAAAAUAAUUUUAAUUAUAGUUAAAUAGUAUUGUGAAAGAAAAUUGAAAUAAUUUGAAAAAUUAAUAUUUUAAAAGAAAAUUUAAUUUAUUGUACCUUGUGUAUCAGGGUUUAUUAAAUAAAAAUUAUUUAUUAUAAUUUUCUCGAUUUUAAAAGAGUUAAUAUAUUAUUAAAGUUAAUGUUGUAAAAUUAUUUUGUAUAAUAUAUUAGAAAUGAAAUGUUAUUCGUUUUUAAAGGUAUCUAGUUCUUUAAGAAAUAAAUUUAAUUUAGAAAUUUUAUAUUAUUUAGUUAAAUAUAUUAAUUAAAUAAAUAUUUUAUUUUAAUAUUUUAUGGGAUAAGCUAUGAAAUAAAUUAUUAAAAAUUAUUAAAUGAUUUAGUAAAUAUAAGCUUAGAAAUAGCUAUUAUUAGUAAAAUUGUUAUAAUUUAUUUUAUUAUAUUGAUUAUUUAUUAAAUUUUAAUUAUGUAUUAAAGUAUUUAUUUUAAUUUAAAAAAUAAAAAAAUAAUGAUAAAAUUAGUAUAUUAUGUUGUAUAAAUAUAAUAAAUUGAUAAGUUUUUAUAAAGAACUCGGCAAAAAUAAUGUUCGCCUGUUUAACAAAAACAUGUCUUUUUGAAUUUUUUUUAAAGUCUAGCCUGCCCACUGAAUAACUUAAAUGGCCGCAGUAUAUUAACUGUGCAAAGGUAGCAUAAUCAUUAGUCUUUUAAUUGAAGGCUGGUAUGAAUGGUUGGACGAGAUAUUAACUGUUUCAUAAAAAUUUAUAAUAGAAUUUUAUUUUUUAGUCAAAAAGCUAAAAUAAUAUUAAAAGACGAGAAGACCCUAUAAAUCUUUAUAUAUAUAGAUUAUUAGAAUUUUGUAGAUUUUUUUUAUUAUAAUAAUUAAUUGUAUUUUAUUGGGGUGAUAUUAAAAUUUAAUAAACUUUUAAUUUUUUUUAUCAUUAAUUUAUGAAUAAUUGAUCCGUUAAUAGCGAUUAAAAAAAUAAGUUACUUUAGGGAUAACAGCGUAAUUUUUUUGGAGAGUUCAUAUCGAUAAAAAAGAUUGCGACCUCGAUGUUGGAUUAAGAUAUAAUUUUAGGUGUAGCCGCUUAAAUUUUAAGUCUGUUCGACUUUUAAAUUCUUACAUGAUCUGAGUUCAAACCGGCGUAAGCCAGGUUGGUUUCUAUCUUUAGUUAAUUAAAAUAUUUCAGUACGAAAGGACCUAAUAUUUAAUAAAUAAUUAUUUUUAUAUUGAAUAUAAAUAAUUUAU
This 1326-nucleotide ribosomal RNA is filed under the name Sarcophaga cetu. Its description in RNAcentral is "16S ribosomal RNA". The stretch from base 1075 to 1234 matches the Rfam family "Archaeal large subunit ribosomal RNA", at positions 2544 to 2703 of the family's 2987-position model. The record is from RNAcentral. Lineage: Eukaryota; Metazoa; Arthropoda; Insecta; Diptera; Sarcophagidae.